GAUGAAGAACGUAGCAAAAUGCGAUAAGUAAUGUGAAUUGCAGAAUUCAGUGAAUCAUCGAAUCUUUGAACGCACAUUGCGCCCGCUGGUAUUCCGGCGGGCAUGCCUGUUCGAGCGUCAUUUCAACCCUCAAGCCCCCGGGUUUGGUGUUGGGGAUCGGCUCUGCCCUUCUGGGCGGUGCCGCCCCCGAAAUACAUUGGCGGUCUCGCUGCAGCCUCCAUUGCGUAGUAGCUAACACCUCGCAACUGGAACGCGGCGCGGCCAUGCCGUAAAACCCCAACUUCUGAAUGUUGACCUCGGAUCAGGUAAGAAUACCCGCUGAACUUAAGCAUAUCAAUAAGCGGAGGA
RNAcentral lists this unclassified non-coding RNA (348 nucleotides) under soil metagenome. Its description in RNAcentral is "partial contains 5.8S ribosomal RNA, internal transcribed spacer 2, and large subunit ribosomal RNA". The stretch from base 1 to 120 matches the Rfam family "5.8S ribosomal RNA", at positions 35 to 154 of the family's 154-position model. The record is from RNAcentral.